AACGAACGCUGGCGGCAUGCCUAACACAUGCAAGUCGAACGAGAUCUUCGGGUCUAGUGGCGCACGGGUGCGUAACGCGUGGGAAUCUGCCCUUUGGUUCGGAAUAACAGUUGGAAACGACUGCUAAUACCGGAUGAUGACGAAAGUCCAAAGAUUUAUCGCCAGAGGAUGAGCCCGCGUAGGAUUAGCUAGUUGGUGUGGUAAAGGCGCACCAAGGCGACGAUCCUUAGCUGGUCUGAGAGGAUGAUCAGCCACACUGGGACUGAGACACGGCCCAGACUCCUACGGGAGGCAGCAGUGGGGAAUCUUGCACAAUGGGCGAAAGCCUGAUGCAGCGACGCCGCGUGGGGGAUGAAGCAUUUCGGUGUGUAAACCCCUUUCGAUCCGGACGAAACCCCGCAAGGGAUUGACGGUACGGAUAUAAGAAGCCCCGGCUAACUACGUGCCAGCCGCCGCCGUAC
This 461-nucleotide ribosomal RNA is filed under the name uncultured bacterium. RNAcentral describes it as "partial 16S ribosomal RNA". It matches the Rfam family "Bacterial small subunit ribosomal RNA", at positions 29 to 523 of the family's 1533-position model. The record is from RNAcentral.